UAAAGUAUUGAAACAUAGUUAUAGCAAUUUGCUCAAAACAUGAACGACAUAUUGUAUAUGAUGUUCAAACAUCUGAAAAGUAAAAACAUUUAACAAGAAUCACUUCCAUUGUGACUAGAAACAACAAAAAAAAUGACCAAACAACAACAUCCAUGCUUCAAGGUCUUCAACGAUUCCUAAACAGCAUGAAAUAUGACUAGAACAAUGUCCACGACACAGCAGCUAAGAAUUCCAACAGUAGAAUGUCUUCAAUAGUAGUGAGAACUGCCCUGUUCUACUUCUCCUGUUCUAACCUACAAAAUAUAGAAAUAUGGUUUAAUGUGUAACAUGUAAAUGGAACUUAUUUGAGUAAUUCGGCUUCCAAAAAGAAAAAAGAAAAAUAGCAGCAACCAUGAGUUAAACAUCAUCCAAAAAUAGCAGCAAAAGUAAUUCGAAGAACAUCCAACUUUUACCUCAUUUACUUCUCCUAUUCUAACCUACAAAAUAGAGAAAACAUGGUUUAACUUUUAACUUGUAAAUAGAAAGGCGAUUUAAAAAUUACAUCAGAUUCAAAUAUUAUACCGGCAAUUUUUCAGGAUGUGAUGAUGUAGUUGAUUGCCAAAAGACUGGUUCAUUUAGGUCAGUUUCUCUCUCCACAUAGCUAAACUUGCAAGUUCUCUUGUUGUGACCAGGCUUAUGACAAAUGCUACAUUCAAUAGUUGUUUGCUUCCUUUUCAUCCUUGUUCUACUCGCUCCAGCUUCCCCAAAUUCCUUUCUCCUCAAUUUUUGCUUUCUUCCUCUCUUUUGUUUCACAUUCUUUGGAGGCAAAGGAGGAAUCUUACUAGAUUUAGGCCACAAUUGUUAUCCAUUAAUUGGAAGAAUAGCAUGUUCAUAAAUUCUCCUAUAUGUUUCCACCAUGUAACAGUCAUCGACGUAGUUAAUUACCUCAUCAUUUUUAGCCCAAAUGGCCGAAAUGGCAUGCUUGCAAGGAUAUCCGGUUAUAGUCCACUUCCUACAACUACAUGUUCUGUUAUGUAGGUCCACUUCCCAAUUAUCAUCCAUGCUCUCUCCAAGGAUUUCAUAGUUCCACUUAUUUGAUUUUUGAGGAAUAAACGCAGCUGCUACAGACUCAUUUUUGUGUAAAAUAUCCUUGAUCCUAGGGCAAACAUCACCCGAAUUCCAUUUUUCUCCUUUAUCCAUGUUAGCUUGUAUCCGAGCCAUCAAUAAGUAUCUUAAUUUCUCUAACAAUGUUAUAAUGGCCUUGUCUCGGGUCUCGAGUAUCAUGCUAUUAAAGGAUUCACACAUGUUACUCAACAAGAUAUCACACUUAGCAUUUGGAUUGAAGUGAGAUCUAGACCAUUCACUUGGUGGUUUGUAUUUAACCAAGAAACAGCAUCUGCAUCUAAGUUUAAAAGGUCAGACAUGCGAUCAUGAAAGAACUUCACCGUCGUAGCCUUUGCAGCAGCCAAAAGUGCAUUCCUUAAGGAGAAACCACUAAAGAUAGCCCUCCUGAAAUUACCAUAGAGGUAUCUCACGCAGAAUCUAUGACUGACGAAUGGCAACACAUCGUUAAAUGCUUCAAGAAGACCUUCAAUAAAAAUAUCAUAUUUUUAGUAAGAAUUUCAAACAAAAAUGUUGAAGCAAGCAAAAAUUGAAUAUUUAAGCAAUCUAAUCGAAUAAACUGAAUAUAAAUGCUUCAAGAAGACCUUUUUGCUUAUCUGACAUGAAGGUCCAACCACCAUGAUCACCAAUCUCCAAAUCAACAGACAAGUAGUUCAAAAACCAUGACCAUGUAUCAUGUGUUUCCUUUUCAACAAUUGCAUAUGCUAUUGGGAAUAUGUUAUUAUUAGCAUCAAGUCCAACUGCCGCUAACAAUUGAGUUCCAUACAUCGGGCUCUUUAACCAAUAACCAUCUACACCAACUAUCUUUCUACAACCGGGAUUGAAGCCUUCCUUACAAGCAGCAAAGCAUAUAUAAAUUCUCUGAAAUAUAUAUGGCUUGUUAGCUAUUUCAUUUUCUGUUAAUUUCACAUGAAUCGAACUACCUGGAUUUGUCCUUUCAAGCUCAUCGAUGUAGUCCCACAACAUAGCAAAUUGAUCUUUAGUAUCACCAUCAAGCAAUGCAAUGGCCUUUCUUUUAGCCCUUCUAGCUUGAGGUAAACUAACAUGAGCUUUAAGUUUCCGACUAAUUGUAUCUCUGAAUUUAGAAACAUUCAAAUCCCUGUUUGAACUGAUGGUAUCCAGAUAUCUCCUCGCAAUAAAAGAAGAUGUGAUCGUCUUAUUACAGUGAUGCCAAUUUUUACAACUAUGCUCAGGGUUGUAAGUUUUUAUUUGAAAUUCAUGUCCCUGUACGUUCUUGAUGCCAUAAUUUUCCACUCACAAGUCGGAUGUAUGCACUUACCUCUUAUUCUUAUCUUGUCAUUUUUGCGCCACUUGAUAUACUUUCCAGCUUUUAUUUCGUGAGUUUCCACAGCAUAUUUAAACUCUUUUUUGUUUUCAAAUGUAUAUGCAAGAGCAAGUACGGGAUUCUUCUCAUCAGUUUUAGGAUUGUACUUGGGAAAAUCAAAACUCUCAUAGUCUGAAUCACUAUCCAAGCUUAAAGUGUCCGAAGAAUUCACGCAAUCAGAAUCCCCUUCUUCAUUUGACAACUUCUUUUGAACCUCGGCACUAAUACGCUCUCUACCACCUUCAACACGUUGUUUUCCAGUAACUCCCUUAUCAAGCAUUGGAUUGAAAUCUGAUAUUUCAUUUUUAGAAUCAUCAAACUCAUCACAACUAGACGAGUUUGACGUUUCAGCCAGUUUCUCAGUAAUUCCAAUAGUUUGUUGCAUAUUUUGAAUGUUGAUUGUUUGACCUUCAUUAUCAGGUUCAAUCUCUGCCAUUUCAAAGUAAUAGUCCAGAUGCUCAAAUUAUAUCUCAACUAUAUUAUCUUUGGGAACCGAUUUUGCGAUUCGGCUAGCUUCAACUUCAGUUGAUACUAGUCUCAAUAUGUUACCAAACUUACCAUAUCUGUGCCAGAAAAUCACUGAAUCAUUGACGUAACUACAAAUGUCGGCCAUCUUCCUCAACUCUGUCAUAUUAAGAUCUGUUGGUUUCACAUAGUCAAAGUAGUCGACCAUACCUCUAACAUAUUUAGUUGGUUGAUGCUUCAUCAACCCCCCGUGAUAUACCUUAAUGCUGAAACAUGAUGCCGCAAUUACAGAGUAUGUCAACAAUAAAAAACAUAUUUUUAAUAGGAGUUUUAAACCAAAAUAAUUUGAAGCGAGCAGAUAUGAAUAUAAAAGCAACUCAAAAAAUAAACAAAGAAGUUCUAAUUAAACUUCUGUAAAGGCAAGCAGAAAAAAAAUAAAAAAGCAACUUAUAAUCUAACAAGAUUUAGUUUUCCUAUGUAGAAAUAAGAUUAAAAAAAUAUAAAGUACCCAAAUUCAGCCUACUUUGAUACGAAUUAACAAACAAAAACAAGAAUCAAGGUAAAAACUUAUAAAGCAAAGAUUCUGAAAACUAGUUGGUAAAAUAGAUUCUCACCAUAAGAUGGGCUUGCUUCUAUUUCACCAUUCCUUUUGAUAUACAUGGCUGGCGAUGGAGAAUAAAGAUCGACAAUGGCAAAGUUUUGAUUUUAGAAGAAUGAUUUUGGCGCCAAAGCAAAGAGAGGUAAUUGGAAGAACGGUGUUGGCGCCAAAGCAAAGAGAAGGAAUUAGGGAUUUUCCCUUCACCCGCGUAUAUGUUUUCAGUUUUUAGUUUAACAGUGUUUAUUUUAACUCUAUAUUUGUCCACUUUUAUAAAGAUAAGGGAUAUUUUAUAUUUAGUGAUAUAGAUAAGGGAUAAAAAUACUCUUAUAGGCAUAUUUAAGCGACUACCUAAGUCUUUU
Molecule: long non-coding RNA, 3847 nt
Filed under: Nicotiana tabacum (common tobacco)
Lineage: Eukaryota; Viridiplantae; Streptophyta; Magnoliopsida; Solanales; Solanaceae
Description: long non-coding RNA (NTAB_LNC016496)
Source: RNAcentral